GCUGGGCGUGGUGCUGCAUGCCUGUAAUCCAAGCUACUAGGGAGGCUGAGGCAGGAGAAUCGCUUGAGCCUGGGAGGUGGAGGUUGCAGUGAGCCAAGAUCUCACCACUGAACUCUAGCCUGGGCAACAGAGCAAGACUCUGUCUCAA
Pongo abelii (Sumatran orangutan) is the source of this 148-nucleotide unclassified non-coding RNA. It matches the Rfam family "Metazoan signal recognition particle RNA". Rfam says of the family: The signal recognition particle (SRP) is a universally conserved ribonucleoprotein. It is involved in the co-translational targeting of proteins to membranes. Lineage: Eukaryota; Metazoa; Chordata; Mammalia; Primates; Hominidae. The record is from Ensembl.